AUGAACGCUGGCGGCGUGCCUAAUACAUGCAAGUCGAGCGAACAGAUAAGGAGCUUGCUCCUUUGACGUUAGCGGCGGACGGGUGAGUAACACGUGGGUAACCUACCUAUAAGACUGGGAUAACUUCGGGAAACCGGAGCUAAUACCGGAUAAUAUUUCGAACCGCAUGGUUCGAUAGUGAAAGAUGGUUUUGCUAUCACUUAUAGAUGGACCCGCGCCGUAUUAGCUAGUUGGUAAGGUAACGGCUUACCAAGGCGACGAUACGUAGCCGACCUGAGAGGGUGAUCGGCGACACUGGAACUGAGACACGGUCCAGACUCCUACGGGAGGCAGCAGUAGGGAAUCUUCCGCAAUGGGCGAAAGCCUGACGGAGCAACGCCGCGUGAGUGAUGAAGGUCUUCGGAUCGUAAAACUCUGUUAUUAGGGAAGAACAUACGUGUAAGUAACUGUGCACGUCUUGACGGUACCUAAUCAGAAAGCCACGGCUAACUACGUG
RNAcentral lists this ribosomal RNA (496 nucleotides) under uncultured bacterium. RNAcentral describes it as "partial 16S ribosomal RNA". It matches the Rfam family "Bacterial small subunit ribosomal RNA", at positions 29 to 507 of the family's 1533-position model. The record is from RNAcentral.